UCAGGGCGUAGUCUUGCUCGAUUUGAGGUCAAUUUAUAAAAAAGCUUUAUGAUAAGCUCAUGCCGCUUCACGUUCCCAUUGGAAUUUUUAGCUUACGACAACGGGUCAAGCCGUGAAACAAGGCUACAGCUUCUUGCAUUUCAAUGCAGCCCAAGUUACCAAGGGCAAACAUCAUGAUCCAAUCCUAGCUAUUCUUGUAAUUAAACAAAAAUGGGAUUGAGAGGGUAAGCGACACUCAAACGAACAUGCUCUCAGGAAUAGCCCGAGAGCGCAAGGUGCGUUCAAAGAUUCGAUGAUUCACUGAAUUCUGCAAUUCACAUUACAUUUCGCGCUUUGCUGCGUUCUUCAUCGAUGCGAGAGCCA
Molecule: unclassified non-coding RNA, 363 nt
Filed under: uncultured fungus
Lineage: Eukaryota; Fungi
Description: partial contains 5.8S ribosomal RNA and internal transcribed spacer 2
Source: RNAcentral